GGGAGGGGAUAUUUGUAGAUUUAAAGUAUGACAUUGCAAGGCUACACAUCUAUGUCUUCAUCAAGUGUUUGUUUUGGUAGUAUGAGAUACUGACAUGUAUACAUGCAAAAAGAGGGUCGUUUCUUGCUAUGGGUGUCCUAGAACCGCAGUGGGCAUCAAAUCAAAAGUAGUAGUUAUAUAUUACAUCUAGUUAACCAUAUCAUCAGUCUGAGCUGCAUUUAACAAAAGCAUCAGAUGCUAUGGCUAACUGUAGGCGUCACUCCUUUUAUUCCUGUAUGAAAAGGCAUUUAUAUUAAAGUUACAUUUGUGGUAUAAAUAUCUGAAUGGGAGAUUCUUGCAAUUGCUUUGCUUGAAACAUUAGCAACAUGAAAUAAAGCAAAAAGAUUAUACUGUGCAUGCAUUUGUUUAGUUUAAAAAACCCGUAUAAUAGGAUUACAAAUUUCACAAGGUUAUACAAUUACCAAAUAUUAUCAUUAAGGGGGUAUCAUUGUUUCUGAUAUCAACGUGUUAAGUAGAUUGUGUUGUACUCUUUUUCUUGAAUACAAAUGCAGAUCUUAAGUCAAUUUUUUUUUUACUAAUUUUCCAUUUUAGAUACCAGGGAAAAUAGAAAGCUGCGUGCAUGUUGGAUUUUUUUCAUGUCUAUUUUGAUUUGACAAAUGGUAGAAGGUGCUAAGGAAAGUACCUUAUUUGUGUUUUGUAGGUGGUGUUGCAGAACCGGGAUUUUGGACUGCUUCAGGGCUAGAAGUGUAUUCUAGCCCCUCCAAUCCCCUCUGGCUUAGAAGGGUAUUCUAACUCCUCUAAUCCCUUCAGGUUUUCUGGCACCCAAACUAACUCUCGGUGUCUAGUUUGAACCUCUGGUGUUUACUUUGUUUCAUGAGGAAUUUAUUGAAUCAUAGUAUUUGUCAUUUGAAGUUAAAAAUAAGAGAACUUGGAAGUGCCGGUGAUUCAGGGAGCGUUUGACAAAGUUUCCAAAGACACACUCCCAGCAAGAAUCACUUCUGUAGAGCUAAACGAUAAAAUCUAAAUUGUUCGUAGUGGGAGUGGAGUAAAUCUAGUCUCUAUUUUUCACUAUAAAGUGGGAGCCAAAAAACCUGCCUCCCACCGCUCCCCACUCUCCAACCUCUCAAAAAUCACUUCACGGCCUAUUUACCAAACGAUUUUUGUCAAAUAAAUUCACUUCUGUUAGAGAAUCACUCGAAAUUACUCUAUUAGAGAAUAGGCACUCGGAGCUAGAGAAUUAUGGAGCGGAGCUCUGCCAAACGAGCCCUCAAAUACUCCUAAGCUUCCAGGAGCGUUAGAUGAUAAAAUAUUUGUAUCCUGUAAUGAAGCAUGUUUUAACAGUUAAGUUUGAUUAAAUAUGAGGUUGUUAUGUUAAUGUACUAAAUUUUACCUCAGGCGAAGCUUUAAAAGUUGUUUCUGAGCUGUUUUUGUUUUUGUUUGUUUACAAAAAAGGAAAUGAAUGUUAUCAAGUAUGAAUAUGCAGUAGAAGCACAUAAUAUUAAGGUGAAUGGAAUGUUAUUGGAAAUAUACUUACGUAGUGUUGUUGUCAUCUGAAAAUGUAAUAGAUCAGGCAACCUGCGAUAUAAAUCAAUGGAAGUGAAAAAGGAGUUAGAAAUUUACAUGGUUGAAAAUUUAAUACUCUUUUGCGAGAGAAAUCUUACAUGGGAACGUGCAAAUGUAUGAGUUUUUGGUAUAGCAUUUGUUGGUGAAUCCUCAAGCAAUGGAGUUGAGUACUUUGCUCGAGUGGACAUUAUAUUCCUUCGUUGUUCAUGAAUAUUUUGGGUAAUGUUUUUUGGUGGUCAUGUGAUUGGAGUAUUGAUAACAUUUGGAAUACUUUUGUGUCGAUACGAAAUGAUUAUUUUGUGGGAGUAAUUUGAAGGUUGGGAAAUGAAUCGUCACAAUUCGUCAUGAAAUAUUGAUAAAAUAACCAGGAACAAAAGAAUAUAACAAUGACCAUAUAAUUAGCUAAUUAGCUGAGCUGACUUAAAGAUGAAUAUGAAAAUACAUAUUUGACCAUGUAAUUUGUGGCUGUAAUAAUGAAGUUUGCAUUGUGGAUAGCAGUUCACCGUACAGAAGGUUUUGAAGUGUGAACCAAUCACGAUGUCGGUCAGGCGAAUGAGAGAGCUGUAAAAUUAUGAUUGGUAAGUUUUGUUAGUCAUGAACAACAGUUUAUGUAUUUAUAAAAUAUGCAAGGUAGUUGAUGUAGUCGUCAGCAAAAAAGUAUAAAGAAACAAAAGAAUAUAACAGUAUCCAUAUAAUUGUAUCCAUAUAAUUAGCUGAGUUGACCUAAAGAUGAAUAUAAAUGUAUAUGUCAUGCAAGACGUGGAAAACUACAAUUUCACGUGCAAAGCAACGAAGGUCUAACAACCAACUGACAGCUGAGUGACCGGAUUGGGCUAAACCCAACCAUCCAUCUCUUUAAACGGGUCAUUGAUUGGGAGGGUCCACGCUGACCUCGGUUGGAGGCACCGGUCACACAACGCUAUAUAAAGUAUUAAAGGGUAGCAGAAAAGUACCUCGCCCUAAACCCUAAUCCACAGAAGGACUCAUCGCCUAUAAGUCGGAGUGACUGGAAGAGUUCUUCCCAUGGCGGCUUCGGAUCUCUGCGCCAGCAACUGGAUCCGAGCCCUUCCUUUUCUGCAGGACGGACAGUGGCUACACCUACGGCGACCAGCUACCAUUGCCGUGCCAAGAUCUACAUGACGGUAAUCCUUAAUCUCCUCUGUUCAUGUGUUUACCGGUGUGCACAAGUCCAGAUCCAAUCACUGUUAAUACUUAAGCACUCGGAUUUGACUAAGUGGACACUGCAAAGGUCACCAAAUUUAUAACACCAACAUCACAACAAAUUCAUGUAUAUGUAAGAUAUUUUGAGUAGCUAAGUUUAAUUAGCGUCUAUAAAAGCGAAGUACGGGUUAUGACAAAAUAAGAAUCAUAUACUAUUAGCCGGAGCACAUAUAUUCCAAAUGAAACGGAGGAAAGAAAUUGGAACUAUUUCUAAACUUACCUACAUAGGAAGUGAACAAUACAUUUAGAAAAGGUCAAUGAAUGGCACAGUUCAGUGCGAACUGUUGAUAUAAUAUUCAGAAACAAAAAAAUAUAUGAGUGCUCAUAUAAUUAGCUGAACUGACUUAAAGAUGAAUGUGAAAAUACACAUCUUUACCGUGUAAUUUAUUUCGUAUGUAUACGAGUUUGUAAUAAUGAAGCUUAUAUUGCAGAUAGCAGUUCACCGUACAGAAGAUUUAAACAAAAAAAAUAUGAAUGCCCAUAUAAUUAGCUGAAGUGACUUAAAGAUGAAUGUGAGAAUACACAUUUUACCAUAUAACUUAUUUCGUACUUAUAUGAGUUUGUAAUGAUGAAGCCUAUAUUGCAGAUAGCAAUUCACGGUACAGAAGAUUUUGAACAGUGAAAUAAUCACAAUGUCGUUCAGGUGUUUAGGCGGACGAGAGAUCUGUAAUUUAUCAAGGUCGUACUCUGGAUAUCAGGUUACCACGCAGGAGCUAUUGCAAUGUGAAUCAAGCACAAUGUUGAUGAGGUCGAUGAGCGAACUGCAAAAAAACACAAUUAGAAUUAGUAUGUAUCUGCAACAUUUAAUAUGUGAAGGUAUAUACAAUAGGAAAGAUGGCUGGUGUAGUAAUGAGGUUUGAAUAAGCAAGCCAUGGAAAUGUGUUAGCCAAAAAUUAUCUAUUGGGGUAUUCGAUCCAGCAAGUUCCCCGUAGGGCCCAUAUGAGUCAACCUUGCUUUACAAUUUAAAUAGAUGUGCUGCAGUAUAGCUAUGCAAAUAUGUUAGCCAAAAGAAUAUUGGGAUAUUUGAUCAAGCAUCAUGCGUGCAUGGUUCCACAUGAGUCUACCCUACUUUACAAUCUAAACAAAUUUGUUGCAGUGUCGUUUGCGGCAAGCAAGCUAAGUAGCAAAUAUGAUAACCCAAAAAAAUCAGUUGGACAUUCGAUCGAGCAACCUCCGUGCAUGGUCCACACUAGCCAACCUUUCUUCCAUAACCGUUAAUGGAGAUCCCCAUGGUGAAGGUCGUACACCGCAAUAGUGCAUCCGCGCUAAGUAGAGCAGCGCGAGCGGAUGGAUGUGGCAGAAGAAUGGGUGGGGAGGCGGGGGAUCCAAAAACUAUAGGAAGCCAGCACCGACGGGCACCGCGUCUGCGCGAUUACGCAAGAGAUGACAAUGUUAGUGCGAAGUGGAGAACUGCGAUGCUUCAACUGAUGCAACCCUUUUGGAGGUUGGAGCUCGCCGCAUGCGUGCUGGCCUCUAUGCUUCAUCACGGAAGUGAAGAGGCGGAUGGGGAGAUGAAACGGAAGGGGCCUACUUGCUGUGCCGUCAUACAGAUGUUCAGAACACGGAAGCGAAGUGACGACGCAUGGGAGCUAGGGGUGUGGGCGAGCACCGGCUUCAGGCACGUGUCGUCGGCGAGGGACAGUCGCGUGAACAUAUAUUCCAGGGCAUUCAUCCUC
Molecule: long non-coding RNA, 4460 nt
Filed under: Zea mays
Lineage: Eukaryota; Viridiplantae; Streptophyta; Magnoliopsida; Poales; Poaceae
Description: long non-coding RNA (ZMAY_LNC003531)
Source: RNAcentral